UUUUAAAUUACAUUGAAUUUGAUAUCAAUGGGAGCGCCUGCCAGAGGAAAUAGGUCAUAAAUAAAAUUCAAAAUAGCAUUAUCAACACACAGAACUUUAUACACACGGAAAAGAAUGUAAAGAAGCUGGGAUUAAUUUCAAAUCUCACGAUAGAAAUUUCCCUAGAUCAAAGACGGUGGACCUUGAAGAUUUAUUAGAGGAACUUGAAGCACUCAUCCUAAGCAGAGGAAUGCGGAAUAAAUGAUUCAACGCCAAAUUCCACAGCGACAUCAGGCUUCAGUGUAGGAACGAUAGCAAGCUUCAGUGUAGGAGAAAGGCCCAUGCUGAGAGUAGUGAACAAUGAUAGACGAUUACGUUAUUUUUGUAAAUUUGUUCAAUCAAACAAUUAAAUUAAAUUAUUAAAGGUUGAUCUGAUUUUGAUUCUGAAUAAAGCCUGUCGGAAACAUCUCAUGCUGUCUUAGUGCAUAAAGC
This is a long non-coding RNA of Mytilus californianus (California mussel), 471 nucleotides long. RefSeq lists it as uncharacterized. Lineage: Eukaryota; Metazoa; Mollusca; Bivalvia; Mytilida; Mytilidae. The record is from RefSeq and is a predicted model, not a curated record. The transcript is spliced from 3 exons.